AAUAGAUACCCGGGUAGUCCACGCCGUAAACGUUGGGCGCUAGAUGUGGGGGCCAUUCCACGGUUUCCGCGUCGUAGCUAACGCAUUAAGCGCCCCGCCUGGGGAGUACGGCCGCAAGGCUAAAACUCAAAGGAAUUGACGGGGGCCCGCACAAGCGGCGGAGCAUGCGGAUUAAUUCGAUGCAACGCGAAGAACCUUACCAAGGCUUGACAUAUACGAGAACACUGCAGAAAUGUAGGACUCUUUGGACACUCGUAUACAGGUGGUGCAUGGUUGUCGUCAGCUCGUGUCGUGAGAUGUUGGGUUAAGUCCCGCAACGAGCGCAACCCUCGUCGCAUGUUGCCAGCACGUAAAGGUGGGAACUCAUGUGAGACUGCCGGGGUCAACUCGGAGGAAGGUGGGGAUGACGUCAAAUCAUCAUGCCCCUUAUGUCUUGGGUCUUCACGCAUGCUACAAUGGCCGGUACAAAGGGCUGCAAUACCGUAAGGUGGAGCGAAUACCCAAAAACGCCGGUCUCAGUUCGGAUUGAGGU
Molecule: ribosomal RNA, 532 nt
Filed under: uncultured bacterium
Lineage: Bacteria
Description: bacterial SSU rRNA
Rfam family: Bacterial small subunit ribosomal RNA
Source: RNAcentral